AUGGCAGAGAAUGACGCCGGAAAAAGUUGGUUGGAGGCAGAGACCAUUGGUGCGAUUUCGCGAGCCGGAGGGUGGAAUCGCAGCCGGUGCUGGUGCGGCCUUGUCGCAACUGUGUCGGUUCUGGCCAUCUCAGUUAUGAUCAUAGAUCAGUGGCUUGUGUUGAGUUGCGGCUGCCGGUGUGUUCAAAGAGGAAGUAGUUCCGAUUAUUUUUCUUCUUUGCACAUCGACGCAUAUGAGUUUGCGUGUCGCAGUUCCGUCGGUUCAAGAUUGGGAUCUGGGUGGCUGAAGGAGAAGGAAAAUGGUGAAGUUGUAGUGGUGUCUCACAGAGGUUGUCUGAAAGUGGUGAUGACUGAAGGUUAG
Vicia faba (fava bean) is the source of this 360-nucleotide non-coding RNA. NCBI's taxonomy places the organism in Eukaryota, Viridiplantae, Streptophyta, Magnoliopsida, Fabales, Fabaceae. The record is from the annotation of a GenBank genome assembly.